GUGCUGGCUUUGACAGUACAUAUGCUAAAAUUGGAACAAUACAAAGAAGAUGAGCAUAGCCCCUGAGCAAAGAUUAUGUGCAAAUUCAUGAAGCAUUCCAUAUUUAA
Small nuclear RNA from Microcebus murinus (gray mouse lemur), 107 nucleotides. The record is from Ensembl. Lineage: Eukaryota; Metazoa; Chordata; Mammalia; Primates; Cheirogaleidae.